RNAcentral lists this long non-coding RNA (903 nucleotides) under Capsicum annuum. RNAcentral's name for it is "long non-coding RNA (CANN_LNC014575)". The record is from RNAcentral. Lineage: Eukaryota; Viridiplantae; Streptophyta; Magnoliopsida; Solanales; Solanaceae.
AAUACUCAACAUGACUCUUCUUCUUUUAAAAAAAAUUUAGAAAUACAUGUACGAGUUUCAUGGCAUAUUAUUCUUUGAUCUUGGCAUGAUUAAUUUUCUGACCAGCAUUUAUGAGUAGGUUAAUAUAUUGUUGUCACUAAUUUCGCUUCAAAAUAUCAAUACAUUGUUUUGAAGACAUGUACUUCUUCUAACAAAAAAUAUGUGUUGUUUUUGUUUGAAUGGUUCUUCUACCGCUGCAUGCUAGCUCAAGCGUGAGGCUAAAUCAUCUUAUUAAGGUCAAAAUGAGAAGUUAAAGUUAAUUAUGGCUUUGAGAAUUUUUUUUUAUGUAAAGGUUAGUUUUAAUUGCAAUGUUUUAUUUUAAUUUACAGGUAGUCGAUGAAUGUCGAUCGGCUUUGAAGAAUUUUUUUAGGUAAAGGUUAGGUUUAAUUGUAUCGUUUUAAUAUCUCUAUUACUGUAUUGUUUUGUGGUAGUUUACAGGUCGUAGAUGAUAGUUUACAGGUAGUAGAUGAAUGUUGAUCAGCUUUGAGAAUUUUUUAUUUGUAAAGGUUAGGUUUAAUUAUAUUAUUUUGGUAUCUUUUUUACUGUAUUGUUUUGUUAUAAUUUACAGAUGAUAGAUAAAUAUCGACUAGCUUUGAAAAAUCUUUUUAGGUAAAGAUUAUGUUUAAUUGUAUUGUUUUGAUAUCUCUUAUUUGAGCAUUUUUUUAUGUAAAGGUUAGGUUUGGAUGUAAUGUUUUGCUAUGUCUAUCAUCAUAUUAUUUGUUGUAGUUUAUAGAUGGUAGAUGAAUGUCCUUCGACUUUGAGAAAUUUUUUGUGUAAAGGUUAGAUUUAAUUGUAUUGUUUUCAUAUCUCUAUCAUCAUAUUAUUUUGUCAUAGUUUACAAGUUUUAGAUGAAUGUCAAUCGGC